Molecule: transfer-messenger RNA, 208 nt
Filed under: Deltaproteobacteria bacterium
Lineage: Bacteria; Pseudomonadati; Myxococcota; Myxococcia
Description: partial transfer-messenger RNA
Rfam family: transfer-messenger RNA
About the family: Bacterial tmRNA, also known as 10Sa RNA or SsrA, is named for its dual tRNA and mRNA-like properties.
Source: RNAcentral
GGGGGCGUAAAGGUUUCGACAGGGGAUUAAAGGAAUUGGAAGCGAGCCGAGGGACGCAGAUGGCCCGCGUUAAAAAAUCUGCGAAUUAUUAAUUGCCAACUUAACAAAUGCAACAGCAGACAACUACGCUUUUGAGGCUCGCCUCGCUGCUUAGUGUCAACAAUCCCUAGAGAAAAUCCUAGGUGGUGUAAAGAGUAGAUAGUUCUGG